AUACCUCGCAAUGUGAUGAUACUACGGACGACCAUCAGUAUGUUUACAGGCGUCACAGACAUAUAGUCAUCCGGAUUACCCAAUCAGUCUGCACGACCACCCCUGUGACGACCUUGUGUCAGUCAACCAAAUCCGAUGCGAUCUGUAUUGAAUGCUGUAUUGAAUUGCUUUUAUUUGUGUGCAUUUCUAUUUUGUUCAUUUUUAAUGUGUUUAUAGAUUUACCUUUUUAUAUCUUUGUAUGGGUGAUUUUAUCUGAUUUGUACAAAUGUGCAUUGAUUUUAAACUAUAUUUUUGUGUUUCCUGGGUUAAAUAUUCUUGGGUCAGUGACUGACAACUGCCCUUGUUGAAUUAGAGGAAAUGAGAAAAUGGCCGUAUAAGUAUUUAAAGACCAAUCACCGCACAAGUUGUACGGCCGGGUAGAGAUUCUAACCCGAGAUUUGUAGUCCGGCAUUCUACUGGUAGAGCUAGCCAGCGCGAUUGUUAAUGUGUAUAUGAGGGGUUUUUUUCAAAGUUUUUCUCACACAACUGUUAUCUGAAUAGUUUAUACACAUUGUCCAUCAUUUAUACUGUGUUUUUAUUUUGUGUUUUGUUCCUGUAUAUGUACGCAAAAAUUAGACACGAAUAAACGAUUAUGCUAUC
Molecule: long non-coding RNA, 639 nt
Organism: Dreissena polymorpha
Lineage: Eukaryota; Metazoa; Mollusca; Bivalvia; Myida; Dreissenidae
Exons: 2
Source: RefSeq, a predicted model, not a curated record